RNAcentral lists this ribosomal RNA (484 nucleotides) under uncultured bacterium. RNAcentral describes it as "partial 16S ribosomal RNA". It matches the Rfam family "Bacterial small subunit ribosomal RNA", at positions 30 to 507 of the family's 1533-position model. The record is from RNAcentral.
AUUGAACGCUGGCGGCAGGCCUAACGCAUGCAAGUCGAGCGGAUGAAGGGAGCUUGCUCCUGGAUUCAGCGGCGGACGGGUGAGUAAUGCCUGGGAAUCUGCCUGGUAGUGGGGGAUAACGUCCGGAAACGGGCGCUAAUACCGCAUACGCCCUGAGGGAGAAAGUGGGGGAUCUUCGGACCUCACGCUAUCAGAUGAGCCUAGGUCGGAUUAGCUAGUUGGUGGGGUAAAGGCCUACCAAGGCGACGAUCCGUAACUGGUCUGAGAGGAUGAUCAGUCACACUGGAACUGAGACACGGUCCAGACUCCUACGGGAGGCAGCAGUGGGGAAUAUUGGACAAUGGGCGAAAGCCUGAUCCAGCCAUGCCGCGUGUGUGAAGAAGGUCUUCGGAUUGUAAAGCACUUUAAGUUGGGAGGAAGGGCAGUAAGUUAAUACCUUGCUGUUUUGACGUUACCAACAGAAUAAGCACCGGCUAACUUCGUG